RNAcentral lists this ribosomal RNA (380 nucleotides) under Escherichia coli. Its description in RNAcentral is "bacterial SSU rRNA". It matches the Rfam family "Bacterial small subunit ribosomal RNA", at positions 1 to 375 of the family's 1533-position model. The record is from RNAcentral. Lineage: Bacteria; Pseudomonadati; Pseudomonadota; Gammaproteobacteria; Enterobacterales; Enterobacteriaceae.
UUAAAUUGAAGAGUUUGAUCAUGGCUCAGAUUGAACGCUGGCGGCAGGCCUAACACAUGCAAGUCGAACGGUAACAGGAAGCAGCUUGCUGCUUUGCUGACGAGUGGCGGACGGGGGAGUAAUGUCUGGGAAACUGCCUGAUGGAGGGGGAUAACUACUGGAAACGGUAGCUAAUACCGCAUAACGUCGCAAGACCAAAGAGGGGGACCUUCGGGCCUCUUGCCAUCGGAUGUGCCCAGAUGGGAUUAGCUUGUUGGUGGGGUAACGGCUCACCAAGGCGACGAUCCCUAGCUGGUCUGAGAGGAUGACCAGCCACACUGGAACUGAGACACGGUCCAGACUCCUACGGGAGGCAGCAGUGGGGAAUAUUGCACAAUGGG